CAAUAGCGUAUAUUAAAGCUGUUGCGGUUAAAAAGCUCGUAGUUGGAUUUCUGUCAAGGACAACUGGUCCGCCCUCCGGGUGAGCACAUAGUUUGGUCUUGGCAUCUUGCUGGAAACUGUUGCUGCGCUUGGUUGUGUGGUGCAGCUUUCAGCACUUUCACUUUGAGGAAAUUGGAGUGUUUCAAGCAGGCACAUGCCUUUGGACACAGUAGCAUGGAAUAAUUAGAUUGGGCUUUUGCUCCAACUUGUUGGUUCCUGGAGCUGAGGUGAGAAUCAAUGGGGAUUGUUGGGGGCAUCCGAAUUUAGCCAUCAGAGGUGAAAUUCUUGGAUCUGCUAAAGACGGACAACUGCGAAAGCGUUUGCCCAGGAUGUUUUCAUUG
RNAcentral lists this ribosomal RNA (380 nucleotides) under uncultured eukaryote. Its description in RNAcentral is "partial 18S ribosomal RNA". It matches the Rfam family "Eukaryotic small subunit ribosomal RNA", at positions 592 to 975 of the family's 1831-position model. The record is from RNAcentral.